This 87-nucleotide transfer RNA is filed under the name Gammaproteobacteria bacterium SG8_31. RNAcentral's name for it is "tRNA-Ser". It matches the Rfam family "tRNA". Rfam says of the family: Transfer RNA (tRNA) molecules are approximately 80 nucleotides in length. Their secondary structure includes four short double-helical elements and three loops (D, anti-codon, and T loops). The record is from RNAcentral. Lineage: Bacteria; Pseudomonadati; Pseudomonadota; Gammaproteobacteria.
GGAGGGGUGCCGGAGUGGUCGAACGGGCUUGACUCGAAAUCAAGUGUAGGGUUUACCCUACCGUGGGUUCGAAUCCCACCCCCUUGG